CAUCUUAUUUUCUUCGGGAGAUAAGAUCAAAGGUGGCCUCUCCUUGGAAGCUUCUGUUUGGGGAUGAGCCCGCGUACCAUUAGCUAGUUGGUAGGGUAAAGGCCUACCAAGGCGACGAUGGUUAGCUGGUCUGAGAGGAUGAUCAGCCACACUGGAACUGACACACGGUCCAGACUCCUACGGGAGGCAGCAGUGAGGAAUUUUGCGCAAUGGGGGAAACCCUGACGCAGCAACGCCGCGUGAGUGAUGAAGGCUUUCGGGUCGUAAAACUCUGUCAGGUGGGAAGAAACCACAUGGUGUUAAUAGCGCCAUGUGCUGACUGUACCACCAAAGGAAGCACCGGCUAACUCCGUGCCAGCAGCCGCGGUAAUACGGAGGGUGUAAGCGUUAUUCGGAAUUAUUGGGCGUAAAGAGCGCGUAGGCGGCCUUUCAAGUCAGAUGUGAAAGCCCGGGGCUUAACCCCGGAAGUGCAUUUGAUACUGUAGGGCUUGAGUAUGGGAGAGGGAAGUGGAAUUCCUGGUGUAGCGGUGAAAUGCGUAGAUAUCAGGAGGAACACCGGUGGCGAAGGCGACUUCCUGGACCAAUACUGACGCUGAGGCGCGAAGGCGUGGGGAGCAAACAGGAUUAGAUACCCUGGUAGUCCACGCAGUAAACGGUGAUCACUAGGUGUAGCGGGUAUUGACCCCUGCUGUGCCGGAGCUAACGCAUUAAGUGAUCCGCCUGGGGAGUACGGUCGCAAGAUUAAAACUCAAAUUGACGGGGGCCCGCACAAGCGGUGGAGCAUGUGGUUUAAUUCGACGCAACGCGAAGAACCUUACCUGGAUUUGACAUCUCGGGAAUCAUUUGGAAACUUAUGAGUGCCCUUCGGGGAGCCCGAUGACAGGUGCUGCAUGGCUGUCGUCAGCUCGUGUCGUGAGAUGUUGGGUUAAGUCCCGCAACGAGCGCAACCCCUAUCUUUAGUUACCAUCAUUCAGUUGGGGACUCUAGAGAUACUGCCCCGGUCAACGGGGAGGAAGGUGGGGAUGAUGUCAAGUCCUCAUGGCCUUUAUGUCCAGGGCUACACACGUGCUACAAUGGGCGGUACAAAGGGUAGCGAACUCGCGAGAGCAAGCCAAUCCCAAAAAGCCGUCCUUAGUUCGGAUUGGAGUCUGCAACUCGACUCCAUGAAGCUGGAAUCGCUAGUAAUCGUGGAUCAGCAUGCCACGGUGAAUACGUUCCCGGGCCUUGUACACACCGCCCGUCACACCAUGAGUUGGUUGUACCAGAAGUUGUUGGGCUAACCCUUCGGGGGAGCAGGCACCUAAGGUAUGGCUGAUAAUUGGGGUGAAGUCGCAACAAGGUA
Molecule: ribosomal RNA, 1342 nt
Filed under: metagenome
Description: bacterial SSU rRNA
Rfam family: Bacterial small subunit ribosomal RNA
Source: RNAcentral